Molecule: ribosomal RNA, 487 nt
Filed under: uncultured eukaryote
Lineage: Eukaryota
Description: bacterial SSU rRNA
Rfam family: Eukaryotic small subunit ribosomal RNA
Source: RNAcentral
GUUAAAAGCUCGUAGUUGAACGUUCGGGUUCCGCGGGACGGGGCCGCCCCGCGAGGGACGGCGCCGCCCCGGGGCUCGUGAUAUCUCAUCUCGCCGCCCGUCGCGAGGCGGACGGAGGGAUGGAUGAGGUUACCUGGAAAAAAUCGGGGCGAUCUAGGCGGGCGAACCUCGCCAACGAACGAUCGGACAUGGGAUAACGGAAGAGGGCGUCGGCUCGACUUCGUCGGUUCCUCGGGCCGAGGCACGUACGGUGAAUAGGGACGGUCGGGGCCGCCCGUACCGGGUCGUGAGAGGUGAAAAUUCUAGGAUCGACCCGAGACGAACCGCCGCGAAAGCAUUCGGCAAGGACGCUUUCAUUAAUCAAGAACGAAAGUCGGGGGAUCGAAGACGAUCAGAUACCGUCGUAGUCCCGACCGUAAACGAUGCCGACCGAGGGCCCGGAGGAGUUACGUACGACCCUCCGGGCCCUCCCGCGAGAAAUCAGGAG